RNAcentral lists this ribosomal RNA (293 nucleotides) under uncultured bacterium. Its description in RNAcentral is "partial 16S ribosomal RNA". It matches the Rfam family "Bacterial small subunit ribosomal RNA", at positions 775 to 1067 of the family's 1533-position model. The record is from RNAcentral.
GGAUUAGAUACCCUGGUAGUCCACGCCGUAAACGAUGAGAACUAGAUGUCGGGAGGAAUUGCCUUUCGGUGUCGCAGCUAACGCGUUAAGUUCUCCGCCUGGGGAGUACGCCGGCAACGGUAAAACUCAAAGGAAUUGACGGGGACCCGCACAAGCGGUGGAGCAUGUGGUUUAAUUCGAAGCAACGCGAAGAACCUUACCAGCCCUUGACAUCGUACGACGACUUCCAGAGAUGGAUUUCUCCCUUCGGGGCGUACAGACAGGUGUUGCAUGGCUGUCGUCAGCUCGUGCCG